RNAcentral lists this non-coding RNA (675 nucleotides) under Hoplopleura sp. Lineage: Eukaryota; Metazoa; Arthropoda; Insecta; Psocodea; Hoplopleuridae. The record is from RNAcentral.
UUAUUCAGAGAUUUAAUAUGUUGGAUAACCGGAAAUAAUUAAAUCUCUACAAUCGGGGAUAGGGCCGCUCUCUGUAGGACUGGGAAAAUAUGUGCCAGCACUAGCGGUCACACAUAUGGUCCAGGCCAUUCUCUUUCAAGAGACACAAGGGGUUCAAAUAGGGGGCUAAGGGUUAAAUUUGUAACCCCUAAUGAUACCUUCUUAGAAUUAAAGUGAUAAACUUAUAGAAUAAACUAGGAUUAGAGACCCUAUUAUUUUAACCUUAAAGAUUACUCUUAGAAAGUAACAGAUAGGGCCUCGAAACCAAGGUCGAAUGGCAGUUAAAUAUCUACUCAGAGGCCCAUGCUGCUAAUCGAUGCUCCACGAAGAUCUUACCUUUUCUUAAAUCUUGUACACCGCUGUCGGAAGGUGAUAAUCCCCCAACUCACCGCAACCCGUGUUAGGGGAUAAGUCAAGUCAAGGUGCAGCCCAUGAAAAGGGACCAGUGUGAGUUAUAAUUUUACUACUUACCCUUUGAAAUGGGGUAUAAGUUCCAAAUUUGGUAGUAAUUCUUAAAUUUUAUUAAGAAAUUUUGAACAAGUAAUAUUUAGUGUACAGAUCGCCCGUCACUCCGUUCAUAAACGGAUAAGUCGUAACACAGUUGUCCUACUGGAAAGUGGGGCAAGUGUUACUGCU